CAUACAAUUUGUCAGUUAUUUGUGAAACUCGAAGAAGUAACAAGCUUACAAGCAAUGAAAUACGGGUGGAUAAUAUUUGUGCUAUUUCAACUCGUUAUAUUGCUGUCGAUGCAACCGAGGGAAGCAAGUGGCGAAUGUUGUCCGGGUAUAGGUAUUUGGUGUCUGGAUCUCACAGUAAAGACGCCCUGCUGUGGGUUAAAACCAUGCAAUAUUUUUUGCUGCGAUUGCGGCAAAUGUAGACGGGGAAUAUUGUCCCGGAAUAGCCAUGGUGAACAUUCUCAAAGAAGUUCCGGUCGUCAUGAUCAUCAUCAUACCCAUAGUCGUGAUCAUCACCACAAACACAAAGGAAAACAUUCCGAUUCCUGCAAGUACACAAUUCUCGCCAUGUGGACAUCAAAGGAAUAAGCUUUUUAUAAACAAUUCAUCUAAUACUGAGAAUUAAAUUGCUCUUAUUGAAGUUAAUGGCAUGAAAAAUCCUAAGACUAUUUUCUUCUUCGAAACCGAUAGCCAGAGUAUAUUCUGGGUUAGUCGCGGGUGCAAAGAUUGCAAACCUAGAAAACCUAGAUCACAGAGAAUAUCUAUUGUCCUUAUGGUCCGAUUCCUGCAAGUACACAAUUCUCGCCAUGUGGACAUCAAAGGAAUAAGCUUUUUAUAAACAAUUCAUCUAAUACUGAGAAUUAAAUUGCUCUUAUUGAAGUUGAGUUAUAUUGAUAUACGAAAUAUCUUUUGUGUGUUUUUGGACUAAUCCAUAAUAAUAAUAAUAUAUUCAUGAAAAUUUUCCGGGUAUUCGAUGGUUUUCUCUAUAUUCUAAUCUUCAAGCGUGCAACUAUCACUUUUUUUUGCAAUUUGUAUUAUAGGAAUGCGAGUUCGGUUAUUUAACCGAAAGUAUGGUGACUAAUUGCAUAAUAUGAUUAUACAUUUGAAACACUUAAUCGAACUUUCUACAGCAUUGCGCCUCAUACAAUUUGUCAGUUAUUUGUGAAACUCGAAGAAGUAACAAGCUUACAAGCAAUGAAAUACGGGUGGAUAAUAUUUGUGCUAUUUCAACUCGUUCUAUUGCUCUCGAUGCAACCGAGGGAAGCAAGUGGCGACUGUUGUAGUGGUGAUGAUGGUGUGUGUGAGGACUACUCAUGGGCCACGCCCUGCUGUGGAAAAGGACCUUGCAAUAUAUUUUGCUGCAAUUGCAAAUGCAGACGACGAAGGAGGCCCCGGAAUAGCCAUGGAGAAGAUUCUCAAAGGAGUUCCCGUCGUCAUGAUCAUCAUCAUACCCAUGAUCGUGAUCGUCACCACAAACACAAAGGAAGAAAACAUUCCGAUUCCUGCAAGUACACAAUUCUCGCCAUGUGGACAUCAAAGGAAUAAGCUUUUUAUAAUGAAUUCAUCUAAUACUGAGAAAUAAAUUGCUCUUAUUGAAGUUGAGUUAUAUUGAUAUACGAAAUAUCUUUUGUGUGUUUUAGGACUAAUCCAUAAUAAUAAUAAUAU
Molecule: RNA transcript, 1482 nt
Organism: Drosophila albomicans
Lineage: Eukaryota; Metazoa; Arthropoda; Insecta; Diptera; Drosophilidae
Exons: 7
Source: RefSeq, a predicted model, not a curated record